This 551-nucleotide ribosomal RNA is filed under the name Salmonella enterica subsp. enterica serovar Enteritidis. RNAcentral describes it as "partial 23S ribosomal RNA". It matches the Rfam family "Bacterial large subunit ribosomal RNA", at positions 950 to 1503 of the family's 2925-position model. Lineage: Bacteria; Pseudomonadati; Pseudomonadota; Gammaproteobacteria; Enterobacterales; Enterobacteriaceae. The record is from RNAcentral.
CAAACUGCGAAUACCGGAGAAUGUUAUCACGGGAGACACACGGCGGGUGCUAACGUCCGUCGUGAAGAGGGAAACAACCCAGACCGCCAGCUAAGGUCCCAAAGUCAUGGUUAAGUGGGAAACGAUGUGGGAAGGCCCAGACAGCCAGGAUGUUGGCUUAGAAGCAGCCAUCAUUUAAAGAAAGCGUAAUAGCUCACUGGUCGAGUCGGCCUGCGCGGAAGAUGUAACGGGGCUAAACCAUGCACCGAAGCUGCGGCAGCGACGCUUAUGCGUUGUUGGGUAGGGGAGCGUUCUGUAAGCCUGCGAAGGUGGCCUGUGAGGGUUGCUGGAGGUAUCAGAAGUGCGAAUGCUGACAUAAGUAACGAUAAAGCGGGUGAAAAGCCCGCUCGCCGGAAGACCAAGGGUUCCUGUCCAACGUUAAUCGGGGCAGGGUGAGUCGACCCCUAAGGCGAGGCCGAAAGGCGUAGUCGAUGGGAAACGGGUUAAUAUUCCCGUACUUGGUGUUACUGCGAAGGGGGGACGGAGAAGGCUAUGUUGGCCGGGCGACGGUU